Molecule: long non-coding RNA, 381 nt
Filed under: Gallus gallus (chicken)
Lineage: Eukaryota; Metazoa; Chordata; Aves; Galliformes; Phasianidae
Source: RNAcentral
CCUGGGGGCCCCCGAUGACGAAGCGGCCGCUGGGCUGCAGGUGGUAGAUGGUGUCCUCGUCCAGGUACUUGGGGGGCACCACGGCUUUGAUCACUUUCUCCUUCAGGGCGUCGCGCAUCUCAUCCAGGCACACCUCCUCGUCGUGCUGCACCGAGAUGACGAUGGUGUGCACGCGGAUGGGGAUGACGGCGCCGCGGUCCUGCAUGUACUGCACCGUCACCUGUGUCUUGGAGUCGGGGCGCAGCCAGGGCAGGGUGCCGUUGCGGCGCAGCUCGGCCAGCUUGGCGUUCAGUUUGUGCGCCAGCACGAUGGUGAGCGGCAUGCACUCCUCCGUCUCAUCCGUGGCGUAACCAAACAUCAACCCCUGAUCGCCGGCGCCGA